Molecule: ribosomal RNA, 1229 nt
Filed under: Pseudobacillus badius
Lineage: Bacteria; Bacillati; Bacillota; Bacilli; Caryophanales; Bacillaceae
Description: bacterial SSU rRNA
Rfam family: Bacterial small subunit ribosomal RNA
Source: RNAcentral
GCCUAAUACAUGCAAGUCGAGCGGACUUGACAGAGCUUGCUCUGUUCAAGUUAGCGGCGGACGGGUGAGUAACACGUGGGUAACCUGCCUGUAAGACUGGGAUAACUCCGGGAAACCGGGGCUAAUACCGGAUAUUCUUUUUCUUCGCAUGAAGAAGAAUGGAAAGGCGGCUUUUAGCUGUCACUUACAGAUGGACCCGCGGCGCAUUAGCUAGUUGGUGAGGUAACGGCUCACCAAGGCGACGAUGCGUAGCCGACCUGAGAGGGUGAUCGGCCACACUGGGACUGAGACACGGCCCAGACUCCUACGGGAGGCAGCAGUAGGGAAUCUUCCGCAAUGGACGAAAGUCUGACGGAGCAACGCCGCGUGAGUGAAGAAGGUUUUCGGAUCGUAAAGCUCUGUUGUCAGGGAAGAACAAGUACCAAAGUAACUGUUGGUACCUUGACGGUACCUGACCAGAAAGCCACGGCUAACUACGUGCCAGCAGCCGCGGUAAUACGUAGGUGGCAAGCGUUGUCCGGAAUUAUUGGGCGUAAAGCGCGCGCAGGCGGCUUCUUAAGUCUGAUGUGAAAGCCCACGGCUCAACCGUGGAGGGUCAUUGGAAACUGGGAGGCUUGAGUGCAGAAGAGGAGAGCGGAAUUCCACGUGUAGCGGUGAAAUGCGUAGAGAUGUGGAGGAACACCAGUGGCGAAGGCGGCUCUCUGGUCUGUAACUGACGCUGAGGCGCGAAAGCGUGGGGAGCGAACAGGAUUAGAUACCCUGGUAGUCCACGCCGUAAACGAUGAGUGCUAAGUGUUGGAGGGUUUCCGCCCUUCAGUGCUGCAGCUAACGCAUUAAGCACUCCGCCUGGGGAGUACGGCCGCAAGGCUGAAACUCAAAGGAAUUGACGGGGGCCCGCACAAGCGGUGGAGCAUGUGGUUUAAUUCGAAGCAACGCGAAGAACCUUACCAGGUCUUGACAUCCCGCUGACCGGUCUGGAGACAGAUCUUUCCCUUCGGGGACAGCGGUGACAGGUGGUGCAUGGUUGUCGUCAGCUCGUGUCGUGAGAUGUUGGGUUAAGUCCCGCAACGAGCGCAACCCUUGAUCUUAGUUGCCAGCAUUCAGUUGGGCACUCUAAGGUGACUGCCGGUGACAAACCGGAGGAAGGUGGGGAUGACGUCAAAUCAUCAUGCCCCUUAUGACCUGGGCUACACACGUGCUACAAUGGAUGGUACAAAGGGCUGCAAGAC